Molecule: ribosomal RNA, 488 nt
Filed under: uncultured bacterium
Lineage: Bacteria
Description: partial 16S ribosomal RNA
Rfam family: Bacterial small subunit ribosomal RNA
Source: RNAcentral
GACGAACGCUGGCGGCGUGCUUAACACAUGCAAGUCGAACGGAAAGGCCCUGCUUUUGUGGGGUGCUCGAGUGGCGAACGGGUGAGUAACACGUGAGUAACCUGCCCUUGACUUUGGGAUAACUUCAGGAAACUGGGGCUAAUACCGGAUAGGAGCUCCUGCUGCAUGGUGGGGGUUGGAAAGUUUCGGCGGUUGGGGAUGGACGCGCGGCUUAUCAGCUUGUUGGUGGGGUAGUGGCUUACCAAGGCGUUGACGGGUAGCCGGCCUGAGAGGGUGACCGGCCACACUGGAACUGAGACACGGUCCAGGCUCCUACGGGAGGCAGCAGUGGGGAAUAUUGGACGAUGGGCGAAAGGCUGAUCCAGACAUGCCGCGUGUGUGAAGAAGGUCUUCGGAUGGUAAAGCACUUUAAGUUGGGAGGAAGGGCAGUAAGUUAAUACCUUGCUGUUUUGACGUUACCAACAGAAUAAGCACCGGCUAACUUCGUG